Molecule: ribosomal RNA, 466 nt
Filed under: Tubulanus sp. B Sakhalin
Lineage: Eukaryota; Metazoa; Nemertea; Palaeonemertea; Tubulaniformes; Tubulanidae
Description: partial large subunit ribosomal RNA
Rfam family: Bacterial large subunit ribosomal RNA
Source: RNAcentral
AGCUUAUUGAAUUUUUAGUAAGUAUUUUCUGCCCGGUGAGAAGUUUAACGGCCGCAGUAUCUUGACUGUGCAAAGGUAGCAUAAUCAUUUGUUUUUUAAUUGGGGACUGGAAUGAAUGGGAGUACAUAGAAGAGAUUGUCUCUUUUUUUUUAUUUGAAUUUUCCUUUUAGAUGAAGAGGUCUAAAUUUUAUAAAAAGACGAGAAGACCCUAUUGAGUUUAAUAAGAUUUCUUUAAUUUUUUUAUUUUUAUUUAUUUAGUUGGGGCAACUUAGGAGGAAGAAAAUUCUCUUUAAUUUCAUUUUGAUCCGGUAUUACCGAUCAGUAGAAUAAAUUACCAUAGGGAUAACAGCGUAAUUUUUUUGGAGAGUUCUUAUCGAUAGAGAAGAUUGCGACCUCGAUGUUGGAUUAAAGAUUCCCGGGGGUGUAGAAGUUCCUGAUGGAGGGUCUGUUCGACCCUUAAUUCUUU